Molecule: unclassified non-coding RNA, 332 nt
Filed under: soil metagenome
Description: partial contains 5.8S ribosomal RNA, internal transcribed spacer 2, and large subunit ribosomal RNA
Rfam family: 5.8S ribosomal RNA (bases 1-120)
Source: RNAcentral
GAUGAAGAACGUAGCAAAAUGCGAUAAGUAAUGUGAAUUGCAGAAUUCAGUGAAUCAUCGAAUCUUUGAACGCACAUUGCGCCCGCCAGUAUUCUGGCGGGCAUGCCUGUUCGAGCGUCAUUUCAACCCUCAAGCACAGCUUGGUGUUGGGACUCGCGUUAAUUCGCGUUCCUCAAAUUGAUUGGCGGUCACGUCGAGCUUCCAUAGCGUAGUAGUAAAACCCUCGUUACUGGUAAUCGUCGCGGCCACGCCGUUAAACCCCAACUUCUGAAUGUUGACCUCGGAUCAGGUAGGAAUACCCGCUGAACUUAAGCAUAUCAAAAAGCGGAGGA